GACGAACGCUGGCGGCGUGCUUAACACAUGCAAGUCGAACGGAAAGGCCCUGCUUUUGUGGGGUGCUCGAGUGGCGAACGGGUGAGUAACACGUGAGUAACCUGCCCUUGACUUUGGGAUAACUUCAGGAAACUGGGGCUAAUACCGGAUAGGAGCUCCUGCUGCAUUGUGGGGGUUGGAAAGUUUCGGCGGUUGGGGAUGGACUCGCGGCUUAUCAGCUUGUUGGUGGGGUAGUGGCUUACCAAGGCUUUGACGGGUAGCCGGCAUGAGAGGGUGACCGGCCACAUUGGGACUACGGUACGGCCCAGACUGCAACGGGAGGCAGCAGUGGGGAAUAUUACACAGUGAGAGGAAGCCUGAUGCAGCAACGCCGCGGGCGGGAUGACGGCCUUCGGGUUAAGAACCGCUUUCGCCUGUGACGAAGCGUGAGUGACGGUAAUGGGUAAAGAAGCACCGGCUAACUACGUG
Molecule: ribosomal RNA, 468 nt
Filed under: uncultured bacterium
Lineage: Bacteria
Description: partial 16S ribosomal RNA
Rfam family: Bacterial small subunit ribosomal RNA
Source: RNAcentral